RNAcentral lists this ribosomal RNA (471 nucleotides) under Triticum aestivum (bread wheat). RNAcentral's name for it is "partial small subunit ribosomal RNA". The record is from RNAcentral. Lineage: Eukaryota; Viridiplantae; Streptophyta; Magnoliopsida; Poales; Poaceae.
AUGUCUUCCUCAAGCUCCCGCGCCACCUCGCGGAUGCAGAGCCGGGCGCGUGUGGAGAUGCCUGUCUUCGUCUGUCCAUGGUGUCGGGCGGGCAUUGAUCGGAGUGUUUCUCACACACCGAGGAACCAGAAUUGUCCGAUCUACAUGUGCAGCGAGAAUGGGGUGACAUGCUUCUUUCUUUGGGUCGAUGCUCUGGCCAAGACUCUGAUAAAUGAACUGCAAGAAGAGUGAGGGAGUCCUGGACUAGGGGGUGUCCGGAUAGCCGAACUAUCAUCACGAGCUCCGGAAGAAGAGAUGGAGGGCGAAGCACGCACUGACAGAGAGCUAGCUGUUGAGCUUAGGAUGUUCAAGAAGAAGGUUAGGAAUCUUGAAGAUCAAUCACUACCAAUACCCAUUUGCAAAUACUUUUGGGCAUUUGUAGGUAUGGUAAUCGCACUGGUUGUAAUGUUGAAAAUGUAUGGAAAGGCAUGA